RNAcentral lists this microRNA (22 nucleotides) under Hyalella azteca. RNAcentral describes it as "miR-18b". Lineage: Eukaryota; Metazoa; Arthropoda; Malacostraca; Amphipoda; Hyalellidae. The record is from RNAcentral.
GUCCUUCCUUUUGGUAGCAAAU